AUUGAACGCUGGCGGCAGGCCUAACACAUGCAAGUCGAGCGGAUGAAGGGAGCUUGCUCCUGGAUUCAGCGGCGGACGGGUGAGUAAUGCCUAGGAAUCUGCCUGGUAGUGGGGGAUAACGUCCGGAAACGGGCGCUAAUACCGCAUACGUCCUGCGGGAGAAAGUGGGGGAUCUUCGGACCUCACGCUAUCAGAUGAGCCUAGGUCGGAUUAGCUAGUUGGUAGGGUAAAGGCCUACCAAGGCGACGAUCCGUAACUGGUCUGAGAGGAUGAUCAGUCACACUGGAGCUGAGACACGGACAAGAAGCCAACGGAAGGCAGCAUUGGGGAAGAUUGGACAAUGGGCGAAAGCCUAAUACAGCCAUGCCGCGUGUGUGAGGAAGGUCUUCGGAUUGUAAAGCACUUUAAGUUGGGAGGAAGGGCAGUAAGUUAAUACCUUGCUGUUUUGACGUUACCAACAGAAUAAGCACCGGCUAACUUCG
This 482-nucleotide ribosomal RNA is filed under the name uncultured bacterium. RNAcentral's name for it is "partial 16S ribosomal RNA". It matches the Rfam family "Bacterial small subunit ribosomal RNA", at positions 30 to 505 of the family's 1533-position model. The record is from RNAcentral.